RNAcentral lists this ribosomal RNA (520 nucleotides) under Pseudomonas brenneri. RNAcentral's name for it is "bacterial SSU rRNA". It matches the Rfam family "Bacterial small subunit ribosomal RNA", at positions 33 to 550 of the family's 1533-position model. Lineage: Bacteria; Pseudomonadati; Pseudomonadota; Gammaproteobacteria; Pseudomonadales; Pseudomonadaceae. The record is from RNAcentral.
GUACUGGCGGCCGCCUACCAUGCAAGUCGAGCGGUAGAGAGAAGCUUGCUUCUCUUGAGAGCGGCGGACGGGUGAGUAAUGCCUAGGAAUCUGCCUGGUAGUGGGGGAUAACGUUCGGAAACGGACGCUAAUACCGCAUACGUCCUACGGGAGAAAGCAGGGGACCUUCGGGCCUUGCGCUAUCAGAUGAGCCUAGGUCGGAUUAGCUAGUUGGUGGGGUAAUGGCUCACCAAGGCGACGAUCCGUAACUGGUCUGAGAGGAUGAUCAGUCACACUGGAACUGAGACACGGUCCAGACUCCUACGGGAGGCAGCAGUGGGGAAUAUUGGACAAUGGGCGAAAGCCUGAUCCAGCCAUGCCGCGUGUGUGAAGAAGGUCUUCGGAUUGUAAAGCACUUUAAGUUGGGAGGAAGGGCAGUAAAUUCAUACUUUGCUGUUUUGACGUUACCGACAGAAUAAGCACCGGCUAACUCUGUGCCCAGCAGCCGCGGUAAUACAGAGGGUGCAGGCGUUAAUCGGGA